Long non-coding RNA from Leptinotarsa decemlineata (Colorado potato beetle), 557 nucleotides. The record is from RefSeq and is a predicted model, not a curated record. Lineage: Eukaryota; Metazoa; Arthropoda; Insecta; Coleoptera; Chrysomelidae.
AACCACAAUGUCGGUGAUUAUAGAAACAUCAAAUAAUAUUCCUAGCUACUUUUGAAAUAUAUCUUAGGAUAUGGUAUCCGAAAGUAAGCAGAUGCUAGAUUUGAUAUCGAGUUUCAACAACUGAUUUCCAAAUCACAUUCUCAAAAGUGAAGAUGAGUAUAUUUUCUACAUAUCAAUAUCAAAGAUUUUUCACCCUUCUUCUUCCUAGCAGGUCAAUGAAUUAUUCACUUCAUCAUGCAGCAAUGAAAUUCAUAAGAAGAGAUCGACUAAAUGGUUUCGAUGGCAAACAAUAGAAAAUUUCAAAUAUCUCAAUCUAAAAGGAAUAUAACUGGUUUCAUUCACUUCCUGCACUUCCUAUAAUAGAGUUAUUGAAAAUAGUCGUCAACAAAUCUCCAAAUUACAACACUGAACAGUGCUUUUGACAUAGGAAGUAACUUCUGACAAAGUGGCAAAUAUGUAUUUAUUGAGCGAAACAUUGAACACAGAUCAACUAAUUGCUCAUAAAACGUAUAAAUGUUUACAUAUUCUCUUGUGAAAUAAAAAACAAAAAAAAACAG